GACGAACGCUGGCGGCGUGCUUAACACAUGCAAGUCGAACGGAAAGGCCCUGCUUUUGUGGGGUGCUCGAGUGGAGAAAGGGUGAGUAACACGUGAGUAACCUGCCCUUGACUUUGGGAUAACUUCAGGAAAGUGGGGCUAAUACCGGAUAGGAGAUCCUGCUGCAUGGUGGGGGUUGGAAAGUUUCGGCGGUUGGGGAUGGACUCGCGGCUUAUCAGCUUGUUGGUGGGGUAGUGGCUUACCAAGGCUUUGACGGGUAGCCGGCCUGAGAGGGUGACCGGCCACAUUGGGACUGAGUUACGGCCCAGACUCCUACGGGAGGCAGCAGUGGGGAAUGUUGCACAAUGGGCGGACGCCUGAUGCAGCAACGCCGCGUGCGGGAUGACGGCCUUCGGGUUGUAAACCGCUUUCUCCUGUGACGAAGCGUGAGUGACGGUAAUGGGUAAAGAAGCACCGGCUAACUACGUG
Molecule: ribosomal RNA, 468 nt
Filed under: uncultured bacterium
Lineage: Bacteria
Description: partial 16S ribosomal RNA
Rfam family: Bacterial small subunit ribosomal RNA
Source: RNAcentral